UUUGAACGCACAUUGCGCCCGCCAGUAUUCUGGCGGGCAUGCCUGUCCGAGCGUCAUUUCAACCCUCGAACCCCUCCGGGGGGUCGGCGUUGGGGAUCGGCCCCUCCCUCGCGGUGGGCCGUCUCCGAAAUCCAGUGGCGGUCUCGCCGCAGCCUCUCCUGCGCAGUAGUUUGCACACUCGCACCGGGAGCGCGGCGCGUCCACAGCCGUUAAACACCCAACUUUCUGAAAAUGUUGACCUCGGAUCAGGUAGGAAUACCCGCUGAACUUAAGCAUAUCAAUAAGCGGAGGAAAAGAAACCAACAGGGAUUGCCCCAGUAACGGCGAGUGAAGCGGCAACAGCUCAAAUUUGAAAUCUGGCCCCCAGGGUCCGAGUUGUAAUUUGUAGAGGAUGCUUUUGGUGAGGUGCCGCCCGAGUUCCCUGGAACGGGACGCCACAGAGGGUGAGAGCCCCGUCUGGCUGGCCGCCGAGCCUCUGUAAAGCUCCUUCGACGAGUCGAGUAGUUUGGGAAUGCUGCUCAAAAUGGGAGGUAUAUGUCUUCUAAAGCUAAAUACUGGCC
This 560-nucleotide ribosomal RNA is filed under the name Trichoderma harzianum. RNAcentral's name for it is "eukaryotic LSU rRNA". The stretch from base 236 to 560 matches the Rfam family "Eukaryotic large subunit ribosomal RNA", at positions 1 to 328 of the family's 3401-position model. Lineage: Eukaryota; Fungi; Ascomycota; Sordariomycetes; Hypocreales; Hypocreaceae. The record is from RNAcentral.